AUACAAGUUAGGCCUUUUGGCUAAGAUCAAGUGUAGUAUCUGUUCUUAUCAGUUUAAAUACUAGUUAACACAUUGGUUUCAGUUUGGCUGUGGGGUCCUUCACUGAACAAUUCUGAUGAAGUCAAAUGAACAAUUCCUUACAUUUUGUUUGUGCUUUUGGUAACUUGCUUAAGAGUUCUUUCCCAUACCAGUGUCAUAACCUAUAGUUUCUUCUGUAGCUUUAUAGUUUUGCUAUUCA
Molecule: non-coding RNA, 238 nt
Organism: Homo sapiens (human)
Lineage: Eukaryota; Metazoa; Chordata; Mammalia; Primates; Hominidae
Source: Rfam